Hypanus sabinus (Atlantic stingray) is the source of this 14431-nucleotide long non-coding RNA. RefSeq lists it as uncharacterized. The transcript has 4 exons. Lineage: Eukaryota; Metazoa; Chordata; Chondrichthyes; Myliobatiformes; Dasyatidae. The record is from RefSeq and is a predicted model, not a curated record.
UUGGUGGAGAGGGGAGACUGUUGUUAGAAGGUGAUGGACUGUUGGUGAAGAGGGGAGACUGUUGUUAGAAGGUGAUGGACUGUUGGUGGAGAGGGGAGACUGUUGUUAGAAGCUGAUGGACUGUUGCUGGAGAGGGGAGACUGUUGGCAGAAGGUGAUGGACUGUUGGUGGAGAGGGGAGACUGUUGGCAGAAGGUGAUGGACUGUUGGUGGAGAAGGGAGACUGUUGGCAGAAGGUGAUGGACUGUUGGUGGAGAGGGGAGACUGUUGGCGGAAGGUGAUGGACGGUGGAGAAGGGAGACUGUUGGCAGGUGAUGGACUGUUGGUGGAGAGGGGAGACUGUUGGCAGAAGGUGAUGGACUGUUGGUGGAGAGGGGAGACUGUUGUUAGAAGGUGAUGGACUGUUGGUGGAGGGUGGAUUCUGUUGGCAGAAGGUGAUGGACUUGGUGGAGAGGGGAGACUGUUGGCAGAAGGUGAUGGACUGUUGGUGGAGAGGGGAGACUGUUGGCAGAAGGUGAUGGACUGUUGGUGGAGGGGGGAGAUUGUUGUUAGAAGGUGAUGGACUGUUGGUGGAGAGGGGAGACUGUUGGCAGAAGGUGAUGGACUGUUGGUGGAGAGGGGAGACUGUUGUUAGAAGCUGAUGGACUGUUGGUGGAGAGGGGAGACUGUUGAUAGAAGGUGAUGGACUGUUGGUGGAGAGGGGAGACUGUUGUUAGAAGGUGAUGGACUGUUGGUGGAGAGGGAAACUGUUGUUAGAAGGUGAUGGACUGUUGCUGGAGGGGGGAGACUGUUGUUAGAAGGUGAUGGACUGUUGGUGGAGAGGGGAGACUGUUGGCAGAAGGUGAUGGACUGUUGGUGGAGAGGGGAGACUGUUGGCAGAAGGUGAUGGACUGUUGGUGGAGACGGGAGACUGUUGUUAGAAGGUGAUGGAAUGUUGGUGGAGAGCGGAGACUGUUGUUAGAAGGUGAUGGACUGUUGGUGGAGAGGGGAGACUGUUAUUAGAAGGUGAUGGACUGUUGGUGGAGAGGGGAGACUGUUGUUAGAAGGUGAUGGACUGUUGGUGGAGAGGGGAGACUGUUGGCAGAAGGUGAUGAACUGUUGGUGGAGAGGAGAGACUGUUGUUAGAAGGUGAUGGACUCGGUGGAGAGGGGAGACUGUUGUUAGAAGGUGAUGGACUGUUGGUGGAGAGGGGAGACUGUUGGCAGAAGGUGAUGGACUGCUGGUGGAGAGGGGAGACUGUUGGCAGAAGGUGAUGGACUGUUGGUGGAGAGGGGAGACUGUUGGCAGAAGGUGAUGGACUGUUGGUGGAGAGGGGAGACUGUUGGCAGAAGGUGAUGGACUGUUGGUGGAGAGGGGUGACUGUUGGCAGAAUGUGAUGGACUGUUGGUGGAGAGGGGAGACUGUUGUUAGAAGAUGAUGGACUGUUGGUGGAGAGGGGAGACUGUUGUUAGAAGGUGAUGGACUGUUGGUGGAGAGGGGAGACUGUUGUUAGAAGGUGAUGGACUGUUGGUGGAGAGGGGAGACUGUUGUUAGAAGGUGAUGGACUGUUGGUGGAGAGGGGAGACUGUUGGCAGAAGGUGAUGGACUGUUGGUGGAGGGGGGAGAUUGUUGUUAGAAGGUGAUGGACUGUUGGUGGAGAGGGGAGACUGUUGGCAGAAGGUGAUGAACUGUUGGUGGAGAGGGGAGACUGUUGAUAGAAGCUGAUGGACUGUUGGUGGAGAGGGGAGACUGUUGAUAGAAGGUGAUGGACUGUUGGUGGAGAGGGGAGACUGUUGUUAGAAGCUGAUGGACUGUUGGUGGAGAGGGGAGACUGUUGAUAGAAGGUGAUGGACUGUUGCUGGAGGGGGGAGACUGUUGUUAGAAGGUGAUGGACUGUUGGUGGAGAGGGGAGACUGUUGGCAGAAGGUGAUGGACUGUUGGUGGAGAGGGGAGACUGUUGGCAGAAGGUGAUGGACUGUUGGUGGAGAGGGGAGACUGUUGUUAGAAGGUGAUGGACUGUUGGUGGAGAGGGGAGACUGUUGUUAGAAGGUGAUGGACUGUUGGUGGAGAGGGGAGACUGUUGUUAGAAGGUGAUGGACUGUUGGUGGAGAGGGGAGACUGUUGUUAGAAGGUGAUGGACUGUUGGUGGAGAGGGGAGACUGUUGGCAGAAGGUGAUGAACUGUUGGUGGAGAGGAGAGACUGUUGUUAGAAGGUGAUGGACUUGGUGGAGAGGGGAGACUGUUGUUAGAAGGUGAUGGACUGUUGGUGGAGAGGGGAGACUGUUGGCAGAAGGUGAUGGACUGUUGGUGGAGAGGGGAGACUGUUGUUAGAAGGUGAUGGACUGUUGGUGGAGAGGGGAGACUGUUGUUAGAAGGUGAUGGACUGUUGGUGGAGAGGGGAGACUGUUGUUAGAAGGUGAUGGACUGUUGGUGGAGGGGGGAGACUGUUGUUAGAAGGUGAUGGACUGUUGGUGGAGAGGGGAGACUGUUGUUAGAAGGUGAUGGACUGUUGGUGGAGAGGGGAGACUGUUGUUAGAAGGUGAUGGACUGUUGGUGGAGAGCGGAGACUGUUGGCAGAAGGUGAUGGACUGUUGGUGGAGAGGGGAGACUGUUGGCAGAAGGUGAUGGACGGUGGAGAAGGGAGACUGUUGGCAGGUGAUGGACUGUUGGUGGAGAGGGGAGACUGUUGUUAGAAGGUGAUGGACUGUUGGUGGAGAGGGGAGACUGUUGUUAGAAGGUGAUGGACUGUUGGUGGAGGGGGGAUUCUGUUGGCAGAAGGUGAUGGACUUGGUGGAGAGGGGAGACUGUUGGCAGAAGGUGAUGGACUGUUGGUGGAGAGGGGAGACUGUUGGCAGAAGGUGAUGGACUGUUGGUGGAGGGGGGAGAUUGUUGUUAGAAGGUGAUGGACUGUUGGUGGAGAGGGGAGACUGUUGGCAGAAGGUGAUGGACUGUUGGUGGAGAGGGGAGACUGUUGGCAGAAGGUGAUGGACUGUUGGUGGAGAGGGGAGACUGUUGUUAGAAGGUGAUGGACUGUUGGUGGAGAGGGGAGACUGUUGUUAGAAGGUGAUGGACUGUUGGUGGAGAGGGGAGACUGUUGUUAGAAGGUGAUGGACUGUUGGUGGAGAGGGGAGACUGUUGUUAGAAGGUGAUGGACUGUUGGUGGAGAGGGGAGACUGUUGGCAGAAGGUGAUGAACUGUUGGUGGAGAGGAGAGACUGUUGUUAGAAGGUGAUGGACUUGGUGGAGAGGGGAGACUGUUGUUAGAAGGUGAUGGACUGUUGGUGGAGAGGGGAGACUGUUGGCAGAAGGUGAUGGACUGUUGGUGGAGAGGGGAGACUGUUGUUAGAAGGUGAUGGACUGUUGGUGGAGAGGGGAGACUGUUGUUAGAAGGUGAUGGACUGUUGGUGGAGAGGGGAGACUGUUGUUAGAAGGUGAUGGACUGUUGGUGGAGGGGGGAGACUGUUGUUAGAAGGUGAUGGACUGUUGGUGGAGAGGGGAGACUGUUGUUAGAACGUGAUGGACUGUUGGUGGAGAGGGGAGACUGUUGAUAGAAGGUGAUGGACUGUUGGUGGAGAGCGGAGACUGUUGGCAGAAGGUGAUGGACUGUUGGUGGAGAGGGGAGACUGUUGGCAGAAGGUGAUGGACGGUGGAGAAGGGAGACUGUUGGCAGGUGAUGGACUGUUGGUGGAGAGGGGAGACUGUUGUUAGAAGGUGAUGGACUGUUGGUGGAGAGGGGAGACUGUUGUUAGAAGGUGAUGGACUGUUGGUGGAGGGGGGAUUCUGUUGGCAGAAGGUGAUGGACUUGGUGGAGAGGGGAGACUGUUGGCAGAAGGUGAUGGACUGUUGGUGGAGAGGGGAGACUGUUGGCAGAAGGUGAUGGACUGUUGGUGGAGGGGGGAGAUUGUUGUUAGAAGGUGAUGGACUGUUGGUGGAGAGGGGAGACUGUUGGCAGAAGGUGAUGGACUGUUGGUGGAGAGGGGAGACUGUUGUUAGAAGCUGAUGGACUGUUGGUGGAGAGGGGAGACUGUUGAUAGAAGGUGAUGGACUGUUGGUGGAGAGGGGAGACUGUUGUUAGAAGGUGAUGGACUGUUGGUGGAGAGGGAAACUGUUGUUAGGUGAUGGACUGUUGCUGGAGGGGGGAGACUGUUGUUAGAAGGUGAUGGACUGUUGGUGGAGAGGGGAGACUGUUGGCAGAAGGUGAUGGACUGUUGGUGGAGAGGGGAGACUGUUGGCAGAAGGUGAUGGACUGUUGGUGGAGAGGGGAGACUGUUGUUAGAAGGUGAUGGACUGUUGGUGGAGAGGGGAGACUGUUGUUAGAAGGUGAUGGACUGUUGGUGGAGAGGGGAGACUGUUGUUAGAAGGUGAUGGACUGUUGGUGGAGAGGGGAGACUGUUGUUAGAAGGUGAUGGACUGUUGGUAGAGAGGGGAGACUGUUGGCAGAAGGUGAUGAACUGUUGGUGGAGAGGAGAGACUGUUGUUAGAAGGUGAUGGACUUGGUGGAGAGGGGAGACUGUUGUUAGAAGGUGAUGGACUGUUGGUGGAGAGGGGAGACUGUUGGCAGAAGGUGAUGGACUGUUGGUGGAGAGGGGAGACUGUUGUUAGAAGGUGAUGGACUGUUGGUGGAGAGGGGAGUCUGUUGUUAGAAGGUGAUGGACUGUUGGUGGAGAGGGGAGACUGUUGUUAGAAGGUGAUGGACUGUUGGUGGAGGGGGGAGACUGUUGUUAGAAGGUGAUGGACUGUUGGUGGAGAGGGGAGACUGUUGUUAGAAGGUGAUGGACUGUUGGUGGAGAGGGGAGACUGUUGUUAGAAGCUGAUGGACUGUUGGUGGAGAGGGGAGACUGUUGUUAGAAGGUGAUGGACUGUUGGUGGAGAGGGAAGACUGUUGUUAGAAUGUGAUGGACUGUUCGUGGAGGGGGGAGACUGUUGGCAGGUGAUGGACUGUUGGUGGAGAGGGGAGACUGUUGGCAGAAGGUGAUGGACUGUUGGUGGAGAGGGGAGACUGUUGUUAGAAGGUGAUGGACUGUUGGUGGAGAGGGGAGACUGUUGGCAGAAGGUGAUGGACUGUUGGUGGAGGGGGGAGAUUGUUGUUAGAAGGUGAUGGACUGUUGGUGGAGAGGGGAGACUGUUGGCAGAAUGUGAUGGACUGUUGGUGGAGGGGGGAGACUGUUGUUAGAAGGUGAUGGACUGUUGGUGGAGAGGGGAGACUGUUGUUAGAAGGUGAUGGACUGUUGGUGGAGAGGGGAGACUGUUGUUAGAAGCUGAUGGACUGUUGGUGGAGAGGGGAGACUGUUGUUAGAAGGUGAUGGACUGUUGGUGGAGAGGGAAGACUGUUGUUAGAAUGUGAUGGACUGUUCGUGGAGGGGGGAGACUGUUGGCAGGUGAUGGACUGUUGGUGGAGAGGGGAGACUGUUGGCAGAAGGUGAUGGACUGUUGGUGGAGAGGGGAGACUGUUGUUAGAAGGUGAUGGACUGUUGGUGGAGAGGGGAGACUGUUGGCAGAAGGUGAUGGACUGUUGGUGGAGGGGGGAGAUUGUUGUUAGAAGGUGAUGGACUGUUGGUGGAGAGGGGAGACUGUUGGCAGAAUGUGAUGGACUGUUGGUGGAGAGGGGAGACUGUUGUUAGAAGGUGAUGGACUGUUGGUGGAGAGGGGAGACUGUUGGCAGAAUGUGAUGGACUGUUGGUGGAGAGGGGAGACUGUUGUUAGAAGGUGAUGGACGGUUGGUGGAGAGGGGAGACUGUUGUUAGAAGGUGAUGGACUGUUGGUGGAGAGGGGAGACUGUUGUUAGAAGGUGAUGGACUGUUGGUGGAGAGGGGAGACUGUUGGCAGAAGGUGAUGGACUGUUGGUGGAGAGGGGAGACUGUUGUUAGAAGGGGAUGGACUGUUGGUGGAGAGGGGAGACUGUUGUUAGAAGGUGAUGGACUGAUGGUGGAGAGGGGAGACUGUUGUUAGAAGGUGAUGGACUGUUGGUGGAGAGGGGAGACUGUUGUUAGAAGGUGAUGGACUGAUGAUGGAGAGGGGAGACUGUUGUUAGAAGGUGAUGGACUGUUGGUGGAGAGGGGAGACUGUUGUUGGAAGGUGACGGACUGUUGGUGGAGAGUGGAGACUUUUGUUAGAAGGUGAUGGACUGAUGGUGGAGAGGGGAGACUGUUGUUAGAAGGUGAUGGACUGUUGGUGGAGAGGGGAGACUGUUGGCAGAAGGUGAUGGACUUGGUGGAGAGGGGAGACUGUUGAUAGAAGGUGAUGGACUGUUGGUGGAGAGGGGAGACGGUUGUUAGAAGGUGAUGGACUGAUGGUGGAGAGGGGAGACUGUUGGCAGAAGGUGAUGGACUUGGUGGAGAGGGGAGACUGUUGUUAGAAGGUGAUGGACUUGGUGGAGAGGGGAGACUGUUGUUAGAAGGUGAUGGACUGUUGGUGGAGAGGGGAGACUGUUGGCAGAAGGUGAUGGACUUGGUGGAGAGAAGAGACUGUUGUUAGAAGGUGAUGGACUUGGUGGAGAGGGGAGACUGUUGAUAGAAGGUGAUGGACUGUUGGUGGAGAGUGGAGACUGUUGGCAGAAGGUGAUGGACUGUUGGUCGAGAGGGGAGACUGUUGGCAGAAGGUGAUGGACUUGGUGGAGAUGGGAGACUGUUGGCAGAAGGUGAUGGUCUGUUGGUGGAGAGGGGAGACUGUUGGCAGAAGGUGAUGGACUGUUGGUGGAGUGGGGAGACUGUUGUUAGAAGCUGAUGGACUGUUGCUGGAGAGGGGAGACUGUUGUUAGAAGGUGAUGGACUGUUGGUGGAGAGGGGAGACUGUUGGCAGAAGGUGAUGGACUGUUGGUGGAGAGGGGAGACAGUUGUUAGAAGGUGAUGGACUGUUGAUGGAGAGGGGAGACUGUUGUUAGAAGGUGAUGGACUGUUGGUGGAGAGGGGAGACUGUUGUUAGAAGGUGAUGGACUGUUGGUGGAGAGGGGAGACUGUUGUUAGAAGGUGAUGGACUGUUGGUGGAGAGGGGAGACUGUUGUUAGAAGGUGAUGGACUGUUGGUGGUGAGGGGAGACUGUUGGCAGAAGGUGAUGGACUGUUGGUGGAGAGGGGAGACUGUUGUUAGAAGGUGAUGGACUUGGUGGAGAGGGGAGACUGUUGUUAGAAGAUGAUGGACUGUUGGUGGAGAGGGGAGACUGUUGGCAGAAGGUGAUGGACUUGGUGGAGAGGGGAGACUGUUUGCAGAAGGUGAUGGACUUGGUGGAGAGGGGAGACUGUUGGCAGAACGUGAUGGACGGUUGGUGGAGGGGGGAGAUUGUUGUUAGAAGGAGAUGGACUGUUGGUGGAGGGGCGAGACUGUUGGCAGAAGGUGAUGGACUGUUGGUGGAGAGGGGAGACUGUUGUUAGAAGGUGAUGGACUGUUGGUGGAGGGGGGAGAUUGUUGUUAGAAGUAGAUGGACUGUUGGUGGAGGGGUGAGACUGUUGGCAGAAGGUGAUGGACUUGGUGGAGAGGGGGGACUGUUGUUAGAAGGUGAUGGACUGUUGGUGGAGAGGUGAGACUGUUGGCAGAAGGUGAUGGACUGAUGGUGGAGAGGCGAGACUGUUGUUAGAAGGUGAUGGACAGUUGGUGGAGAGGGGAGACUGUUGUUAGAAGGUGAUGGACUGUUGGUGGAGAGGGGAGACUGUUGGCAGAAGGUGAUGGACUGUUGGUGGAGAGGGGAGUGUUGGCAGAAGGUGAUGGACUGAUGGUGGAGAGGCGAGACUGUUGUUAGAAGGUGAUGGACAGUUGGUGGAGAGGGGAGACUGUUGUUAGAAGGUGAUGGACUGUUGGUGGAGAGGGGAGACUGUUGGCAGAAGGUGAUGGACUGUUGGUGGAGAGGGGAGACUGUUGGCAGAAGGUGAUGGACUGAUGGUGGAGAGGCAAGACUGUUGUUAGAAGGUGAUGGACAGUUGGUGGAGAGGGGAGACUGUUGGCAGGUGAUGGACUGUUGGUGGAGAGGGGAGACUGUUGUUAGAAGGUGAUGGACUGUUGGUGGAGAGGGGAGACUGUUGUUAGAAGGUGAUGGACUGUUGGUGGAGAGGGGAGACUGUUGUUAGAAGGUGAUGGACUGUUGGUGGAGGGGGGAGACUGUUGGCAGAAGGUGAUGGACUGUUGGUGGAGGGGGGAGACUGUUGUUAGAAGGUGAUGGACUGUUGGUGGAGAGGGGAGACUGUUGUUAGAAGGUGAUGGACUGUUGGUGGAGAGGGGAGACUGUUGUUAGAAGGUGAUGGACUGAUGGUGGAGAGGGGAGACUGUUGGCAGAAGGUGAUGGACUUGGUGGAGAGGGGAGACUGUUGGCAGAAGGUGAUGGACUGUUGGUGGAGAGGGGAGACUGUUGGCAGAAGGUGAUGGACUGUUGGUGGAGAGGGGAGAUUGUUGUUAGAAGGUGAUGGACUGAUGGUGGAGAGGGGAGACUGUUGUUAGAAGGUGAUGGACUUGGUGGAGAGGGGAGACUGUUGGCAGUAUGUGAUGGACUGUUGGUGGAGAGGGGAGACUGUUGUUAGAAGGUGAUGGACUGUUGGUGGAGAGGGGAGACUGUUGGCAGGUGAUGGACUGUUGGUGGAGAGGGGAGACUGUUGUUAGAAGGUGAUGGACUGUUGCUGGAGAGGGGAGACUGUUGUUAGAAGGUGAUGGACUGUUGGUGGAGAGGGGAGACUGUUGUUAGAAGGUGAUGGACUGUUGGUGGAGGGCGGAGACUGUUGGCAGAAGGUGAUGGACUUGGUGGAGGGGGGAGACUGUUGGCAGAAGGUGAUGGACUGUUGGUGGAGAGGGGAGACUGUUGUUAGCAGGUGAUGGACUGUUGGUGGAGAGGGGAGACUGUUGUUAGAAGGUGAUGGACUGUUGGUGGAGAGGGGAGACUGUUGUUAGAAGGUGAUGGACUGAUGGUGGAGAGGGGAGACUGUUGUUAGAAGGUGAUGGACUGUUUGUGGAGAGGGGAGACUGUUGUUAGAAGGUGAUGGACUGUUGGUGGAGAGGGGAGACUGUUGGCAGAAGGUGAUGGACUUGGUGGAGAGGGGAGACUGUUGGCAGAAGGUGAUGGACUGUUGGUGGAGAGGGGAGACUGUUGUUAGAAAGUGAUGGACUGUUGGUGGAGAGGGGAGACUGUUGUUAGAAGGUGAUGGACUGUUGGUGGAGAGGGGAGACUGUAGGCAGAAGGUGAUGGACUGUUGGUGGAGAGGGGAGACUGUUGUUAGAAGGUGAUGGACUGAUGGUGGAGAGGGGAGACUGUUGGCAGAAGGUGAUGGACUGUUGGUGGAGAGGGGAAUCUGUUGUUAGAAGGUGAUGGACUGUUGGUGGAGAGGGGAGACUUUUGGCAGAAGGUGAUGGACUGUUGGUGGAGAGGGGAGACUGUUGUUAGAAGGUGAUGGACUGUUGGUGGAGAGGGGAGACUGUUGGCAGAAGGUGAUGGACUGUUGGUGGAAAGGGGAGACUGUUGGCAGAAGGUGAUGGACUGUUGGUGGAGAGGGGAGACUGUUGUUAGAAGAUGAUGGACUGUUGGUGGAGAGGGGAGACUGUUGUUAGAACGUGAUGGACUGUUGGUGGAGGGGGGAGACUGUUGGCAGAAGGUGAUGGACUGUUGGUGCAGAGGGGAGACUGUUGGCAGAAGGUGAUGGACUGUUGGUGGAGAGUGGAGACUGUUGUUAGAAGGUGAUGGACUGUUGGUGGAGAGGGGAGACUGUUGUUAGAAGGUGAUGGACUGUUGGUGGAGAGGGGAGACUGUUGGCAGAAGGUGAUGUACUGUUGGUGGAGAGGGGAGACUUUUUUUAGAAGGUGAUGGACUGUUGGUGGAGAGGGGAGACUGUUGGCAGAAUGUGAUGGACUGUUGGUGGAGGGGGGAGACUGUUGUUAGAAGGUGAUGGACUGUUGGUGGAGAGGGGAGACUGUUGGCAGGUGAUGGACUGUUGGUGGAGAGGGGAGACUGUUGUUAGAAGGUGAUGGACUGUUGGUGGAGGGGGGAGACUGUUGUUAGAAGGUGGACAGUUGGUGGAGAGGGGGACUGUUGGCAGAAGGUGAUGGACUGUUGGUGGAGAGGCGAGACUGUUGGCAGAAGAUGAUGGACUGUUGGUGGAGGGGGGAGAUUGUUGUUAGAAGGUGAUGGACUGUUGGUGGAGAGGGGAGACUGUUGGCAGAAUGUGAUGGACUGUUGGUGGAGAGGGGAGACUGUUGUUAGAAGGUGAUGGACUGUUGGUGGAGAGGGGAGACUGUUGUUAGAAGGUGAUGGACUGUUGGUGGAGAGGGGAGACUGUUGUUAGAAGGUGAUGGACUGUUGGUGGAGAGGGGAGACUGUUGGCAGAAGGUGAUGGACUGUUGGUGGAGAGGGGAGACUGUUGUUAGAAGGUGAUGGACUGAUGGUGGAGAGGCGAGACUGUUGUUAGAAGGUGAUGGACAGUUGGUGGAGAGGGGAGACUGUUGUUAGAAGGUGAUGGACUGAUGGUGGAGAGGGGAGACUGUUGUUAGAAGGUGAUGGACUGUUGGUGGAGAGGGGAGACUGUUGUUAGAAGGUGAUGGACUGUUGGUGGAGAGUGGAGACUGUUGUUAGAAGGUGAUGGACUGUUGGUGGAGUGGGGAGACUGUUGUUAAAAGGUGAUGGACUGUUGGUGGAGAGGGGAGACUGUAGGCAGAAGGUGAUGGACUGUCGGUGGAGAGGGGAGACUGUUGUUAGAAGGUGAUGGACUGAUGGUGGAGAGGGGAGACUGUUGGCAGAAGGUGAUGGACUGUUGGUGGAGAGGGGAGUCUGUUGUUAGAAGGUGAUGGACUGUUCCUGGAGAGGGGAGACUUUUGGCAGAAGGUGAUGGACUGUUGGUGGAGAGGGGAGACUGUUGUUAGAAGGUGAUGGACUGUUGGUGGAGAGGGGAGACUGUUGUUAGAAGGUGAUGGACUGUUGGUGGAGAGGGGAGACUGUUGGCAGAAGGUGAUGGACUGUUGGUGGAGAGGGGAGACUGUUGUUAGAAGGUGAUGGACUGUUGGUGGAGAGGGGAGACUGCUGGCAGAAUGUGAUGGACUGUUGGUGGAGAGGGGAGACUGUUGUUAGAAGGUGAUGGACUGAUGGUGGAGAGGGGAGACUGUUGGCAGAAGGUGAUGGACUGUUGGUGGAGAGGGGAGUCUGUUGUUAGAAGGUGAUGGACUGUUGGUGGAGAGGGGAGACUUUUGGCAGAAGGUGAUGGACUGUUGGUGGAGAGGGGAGACUGUUGUUAGAAGGUUAUGGACUGUUGGUGGAGAGUGGAGACUGUUGUUAGAAGCUGAUGGACUUGGUGGAGAGGGGAGACUGUUGGCAGAAGGUGAUGGACUUGGUGGAGAGGGGAGACUGUUGGCAGAAGGUGAUGGACUGAUGGUGGAGAGGGGAGACUGUUGGCAGAAGGUGAUGGACUGUUGGUGGAGGGGGGAGACUGUUGGCAGAAGGUGAUGGACUGUUGGUGGUGGGGGGAGACUGUUGUUAGAAGGUGAUGGACUGUUGGUGGAGAGGGGAGACUGUUGUUAGAAGGUGAUGGAUUGAUGGUGGAGAGGGGAGACUGUUGGCAGAAGGUGAUGGACGGUGGAGAGGGGAGACUGUUGGCAGAAGGUGAUGGACUUGGUGGAGAGGGGAGACUGUUGUUAGAAGGUGAUGGACUGUUGGUGGAGAGGGGAGACUGUUGUUAGAAGGUGAUGGACUGUUGGUGGAGGGGGGAGACUGUUGUUAGAAGGUGAUGGACUGUUGGUGGAGAGGGGAGACUGUUGGCAGAAGGUUAGGUGUUCGUUGAGAAAAAUAGAUAUUACAGAGUGUUUGAAACCUUGGUUUAUCUCUCACUGCAGGAAACUUGUUCCCAAGUCCUGCAGCAGCGACGAGGAAUUCCUGAAAGUCUACCGGGUUGAGCAGAAGCACCUGGAGUCUGUGCCCUGCCUCUCAGCCACUGUGGAGCCCAGCACCUGGGGCAACGUCAAUGAGCUGGCCAAAGCCGUGAAGCAGAGCAUCUUGCAGGAGCAGACAAAACUCGUCUGGAUCGAGCAGAACUAAAGCUCAUUAGCCAGCCGAGCCUCCGUCCAUGAUACGGCAUGGAAGGACUGUGGCUCUGGUGGGGACAGAUGUGGGAAUCCAGCCCAGCAAGGUAUCUCCUGUCCGAUGCCCAAUGACAUUGAAGCCCAGUCACUCUCCUCUAGGCACAGGUCCAAACAGAAAGCAGAAAACUACAAGUUACCAACUGGUAGAUCUAUGCUGGUGGCCGCAGCAAGAUGGCAUCUGACACACUGAUCUCAACCCUUCUCCACGAGGCCAGAGAAGCAGGACUGGGCAGCUGGAUGAGGAGCGUGGAGUUGUAGAGGGUGAGUCAGUCACACCAGAAGGCAGCUGGUUAGGAAGGAUUUGCAGGGCUGUGAGAGGAUAGGAGAGCCAAACCAACUGGAUUAUUCUUCAAUUGAGUCAGUAUAGACUGAACAGGCUGAAUAGCCUGACUAUUCUCUAACACUGUGACCUUUUGUUUCUCCAGCUCCAAUUUCCAGCCCCUUUCCCUUGAACUGCCGUCCCUUUUGUCCUUUUAUGGAGUCUCUCCUUCCAUUUAAGAAACGUAUAGAGAAUUGAAAGAGGGAGGGCUAUGUUGGAGGGAAGGAUUAGAUUUAUCUUCGAGUAGGUUGAAAGGUCGGCACAACAUCUUGGGUUGAAGAGCCUGUACUUAGCUGUUCUGUGUUCUAUAUUCCUAACUAACACCUCCCCUUUCAUUUGCUCCUCCCCCUCUCUUUAUCGCAUCUGCUGUUAUUUUCUCUCUUAAUGUUUACCCAGUUCCAUUUAAAUAUCUUUGACCUUAAAUAUUCAUUUUCAAAGUCAAAGUACUUUGACACAAGUACGCGUGUGCACAGUGAAAACGCACUCGCCGCAGGCAGCAUUGAGAAGAAAGACAUAAAUUAAAAAUAAUUUAUACACAGCUUUUACAGAAACAACACAAUUAGAGCAAAAAGAUUGUCCAUUUUGAUGCAAAGUAGUCAGAGUGUUGUCCAGCUGUAGUGACUAGUUAGUUCCAGAAUGGUUAAUGCAUAGAACAUAGUACAGAAAUACAGGCCAUUCAGCCCACACUGUUGUGCGGAGUUCUUAACCUACUCCAAGAUCCACUUGACCCUUCUCUCCCAUGUAGUCCUCGAUUUAUGUGCCUAUGUAAGAGUCUCUUAAUAUAUUUGCCUCUCCCACCACCCCUGGCAGCAUACACCAUUCUGUCUAAAAAAUAGACUACCCCCCCUUACACUUUCCUCAAACACAGUAAAGUUAUCACCCCUUGUAUUAGCCAUUUUCACCAGGGAAAGAGUCUCUUUGUCCACUCGAUCUGAGCCCCUUAUCGUCUUACAUGCCUCUAUCGUCACCCCUCAUCCUCCUUUAUUCCAAAGAGAAAAGCCCCUCGCUCACUCACCCUCUCCUCAUCGAGAGAGGGGAAGUAGCUCCUUGUCUCACUCUCCACGGACCCUUUCCAUUGAACGUGGCGUGUCAUACGUAGGCGCCUUCUCCCAACCCACCCAGCACUUGGAGUGUUUUCUCCUUCUCUUUCCGAUUUCCACCUUCUACAGCAUCUUGCUUUGUGUUGAACUCUUAACAGUUUAUUUUUCUUCGUUAAAUAAUAUUUCGAAGUUACUGAUAACUUUAGUUCAAAAGCAGUUUGGGAUACUGAUAAACAGGAGAGAGGAGCUGAUAACGCUGGAAACACACAAACUCAGCUGGACAGAAGAGCGAACAGUCGACGUUUCAGGCCGAGACCCUUCGCCAGGACCGGAAAUGAGGGGGAAAGAGAAUAAAAAGGUGUGGGGAGGGGAAGGAGGCUAGAUAGAAAGUGAUAGGUGAAACCAGGGCUGGAGAAGAAGGAAUAAUAGUAGAUGAUAGGAAAAAGGGAAGGAGGAGGGGGCCUUGGAAGGAGUUACAGGCAGGCGAGGUGUAAAAGGUCAGAGUGAGGGGAGGGUACAUUCCAGUGCUUCUCUAAAUGCCUCCAUCUUACUUGCCUACACCACUCUCUGUAUAAAUAACUUGAGCCACACAUCUCCUUUAAACUUACUCCUCUCACCGUAAGCGCACCCUCUUCAAUAUUAGACAUUUCAACCCUGGGUACAAGGUACCAGCUCUCUAUUCUAUCUCUGCCUCUCAAAAUCUUAUAAACUUCUCUCAGAUCGCCCCUCAGCCUCCACGGCUCCGGAGAAAACAACACAGUAUGUGCCCCGUCUAAUCCGGGCGGCAUCCUGGUAAACCUCUUCUGCCCCUUCUCCAAAGUCUCCACAUCCUUCCUAUCACGGGGCAACUAAAACUGAGUUCAAUGCUCUAGACAGACCCAAAGCAAUUUCUAUGAUGAGUGUAGAUUUUUAGUGGAAAAUGUCUGCAUAAGUCUGUGAGAGGAAGACAUGAACUGGAAGAAAGUUUUAAAGACAGGUUUUUUUAAUAUAUUGUAAAUACAUCUUAUUUUUGAUUCUAUUCAAAUAUUUAUCAAAUCUAAUUAUAUUAUCAGUGCUAUUA